RNAcentral lists this ribosomal RNA (329 nucleotides) under Pseudomonas aeruginosa. RNAcentral's name for it is "bacterial SSU rRNA". It matches the Rfam family "Bacterial small subunit ribosomal RNA", at positions 1205 to 1533 of the family's 1533-position model. The record is from RNAcentral. Lineage: Bacteria; Pseudomonadati; Pseudomonadota; Gammaproteobacteria; Pseudomonadales; Pseudomonadaceae.
CGACCAGGGCUACACACGUGCUACAAUGGCAUAUACAAAGAGAAGCGACCUCGCGAGAGCAAGCGGACCUCAUAAAGUAUGUCGUAGUCCGGAUUGGAGUCUGCAACUCGACUCCAUGAAGUCGGAAUCGCUAGUAAUCGUAGAUCAGAAUGCUACGGUGAAUACGUUCCCGGGCCUUGUACACACCGCCCGUCACACCAUGGGAGUGGGUUGCAAAAGAAGUAGGUAGCUUAACCUUCGGGAGGGCGCUUACCACUUUGUGAUUCAUGCCUGGGGUGAAGUCGUAACAAGGUAACCGUAGGGGAACCUGCGGUUGGAUCACCUCCUUA